UCUAGCCCCAUUGAUGUCUCUAGGGCCCCCACGGCCCUAUCCCUGGGGGCCUGCAGGCAGGCGGCCCCACCUUACCGUCCUGGUUCCGGUCAAGACUGUGAAACAUGAGCAGCAGACGCUGUUCCCGCUCCUGGAGGUAGCGGGAAAAUUCCUCCAGGUCAAGCCCGCCAUCUGGGUCAGCGUCACCCUCAGAGGAGAUACCCUGGCAGAGGAAAAGGGGACAGAGGUGACUCCAGCAACCUGCUCCUGAUCUGGAGGGGACGCACGUCACCUUAUGCCUUAGGAGCCCAGAGCCCCCAGUGCCUUGAGGAAGGGGACAGAAGGAACUCAAGUUCUCGCUUCUGCCAGACGCACGCAAGAACCCUGCAACAUCUCGCUCUCUCUCUGCCCGCCCACGCCCGACACCUUCUCCUCUCGGCCGCAGAAACAGAAGAUCCAGGCGCUAUGCGCUCCCACUGUCCUUUUCUCCCGCCCGCGCGCCUCCUUUCUCUGUCCCACUCCGACCGGGAAACAGAAAAUCAACACGCGGCGCGGCUGCAAGGGGGAAGGCAGCCCAGACCACUUGACAGCGAAUAAUAACAAAAGCUCACUUUGAUUCAGUGCGUUGCACAUGCCAGGGCUUUUACUCACCUCUCGCGUCGUCGUUGCCGAAACCCUAUAAGGUGCCAUACAGCAUGGAGUGAUACAGAGGUUUUUUUCCGUAUGUGCGUCAAUGUGAGUGUGCCCCAUGCAGAAGUUCCAAGUUCUUCCCCUCACUUGAGCUCAAUCUCAUACAGGUGUUCCUCCUACAAGGUGCUUUCCCUUACCUCACAGGUAUGUUUCUGAACAGGUUUCCCUCCACCCAUGAAUGCAUUCUACAGUCUCCCACCCCAUAGGUGUGUUUCAGUUAAGUAUACACCCAUCUGGGUAUGUUUCCAUAUAACCAAGUCCCAUAUAGGUCUACGUAAAUGCAGGUAUGUCUCAUACAGGUAUUUACAAGACACUGACACCCCAGUAAUUCCCCAAUACAAGUGCUGUACAUUUCAUAGGUGAGCCUGCAGAUGUGUUCCUAAAACAGGUCUAUUCCACAUCAGAGUGCCUUAGCUGUUUGUGAUGAUAAUGCAGGCGUGUUCUGUGGAGAUAUUGUCCACCCUGGUGGUAUGUAUCCAUUUGGUCAUAUUUCUUUUCUUUUCUCUCUUUUUUUU
Molecule: long non-coding RNA, 1184 nt
Organism: Macaca mulatta (Rhesus monkey)
Lineage: Eukaryota; Metazoa; Chordata; Mammalia; Primates; Cercopithecidae
Source: RefSeq, a predicted model, not a curated record